RNAcentral lists this ribosomal RNA (833 nucleotides) under Bartheletia paradoxa. RNAcentral describes it as "partial large subunit ribosomal RNA". The record is from RNAcentral. Lineage: Eukaryota; Fungi; Basidiomycota; Bartheletiomycetes; Bartheletiales; Bartheletiaceae.
CGGCGAGUGAAGCGGGAAGAGCUCAAAUUUAAAAUCUGGCGGCCUAAGGUCGUCCGAAUUGUAGUCUAGAGAAGUGUUUUCCGCGCCGGACUUUGUACAAGUCCCUUGGAACAGGGCGUCAUAGAGGGUGAGAAUCCCGUACUUGACGAAGAUCCCCGGUGCUAUGUGAUACACUUUCUAAGAGUCGAGUUGUUUGGGAAUGCAGCUCAAAACGGGUGGUAAAUUCCAUCUAAAGCUAAAUAUUGGUGGGAGACCGAUAGCGAACAAGUACCGUGAGGGAAAGAUGAAAAGCACUUUGGAAAGAGAGUUAAACAGUACGUGAAAUUGUUAAAAGGGAAACGAUUGAAGUCAGUCAUGUUCGGAGAGACUCAGCUUUACUUUUGUUUAGUGCACUUCUCUUCGAACGGGCCAACAUCAAUUUUGAUCGACGGAAAAGGGUGUCAGGAACGUGGCUCUYUCGGGAGUGUUAUAGCCUUUCAUCGUAUACGUCGGUUGGGAUUGAGGAACGCAGCGUGCCUUUUGGCGGAUCUUCGGAUACCCACACGCUUAGGAUGUUGGCAUAAUGGCUUUAAACGACCCGUCUUGAAACACGGACCAAGGAGUCUAACAUAUCUGCGAGUAUUUGGGUGGUAAACCCGGAUGCACAAUGAAAGUAAAUGCAGGUGCGAUCCGCAAGGAGCAGCAUCGACCGAUCUGGAUUUUUAAUGAUGGAUUUGAGUAAGAGCAUAUAUGUUGGGACCCGAAAGAUGGUGAACUAUGCCUGAAUAGGGCGAAGCCAGAGGAAACUCUGGUGGAGGCUCGUAGCGAUUCUGACGUGCAAAUCGAUCGUCAAA